AGGUGCGAUCAUACCAGCACUAAUGCACCGGAUCCCAUCAGAACUCCGCAGUUAAGCGUGCUUGGGCUAGAGUAGUACUAGGAUGGGUGACCUCUUGGGAAGUCCUCGUGUUGCACCU
This 118-nucleotide ribosomal RNA is filed under the name Vigna nakashimae. The record is from RNAcentral. Lineage: Eukaryota; Viridiplantae; Streptophyta; Magnoliopsida; Fabales; Fabaceae.